Molecule: ribosomal RNA, 828 nt
Filed under: uncultured bacterium
Lineage: Bacteria
Description: bacterial SSU rRNA
Rfam family: Bacterial small subunit ribosomal RNA
Source: RNAcentral
CUCUUCGGGGAUGAUUAAACCGGCGCACGGGUGAGUAACACGUGAGUGACCUGCCUUUUAGACUGGAACAACUUACCGAAAGGUGAGCUAAUGCCGGAUGAGUUAUAUAAGUGCAUGUUUAUAUAGGAAAAGUUGGGGAGACCUGACGCUGAAAGAUGGACUCGCGUCCCAUUAGCUAGUUGGUAGGGUAAUGGCCUACCAAGGCGACGAUGGGUAGCCGGCCUGAGAGGGUGGCCGGCCACACUGGGACUGAGACACGGCCCAGACUCCUACGGGAGGCAGCAGUGGGGAAUUUUGCGCAAUGCUCGUAAGAGUGACGCAGCGACGCCGCGUGAAUGACGAAGGCCUUCGGGUCGUAAAGUUCUUUCGACAGGGAAGAAAAUGCCUAUAAGUAACUGUGUAUGUAUUGACGGUACCUGUAUAAGCAGCCCCGGCUAACUCCGUGCCAGCAGCCGCGGUAAUACGGAGGGGGCGAGCGUUGUUCGGAGUGACUGGGCGUAAAGAGCACGUAGGCGGUGUUGUAAGUCAUUAGUCAAAGACUAGAGCUCAACUUUAGUAAGGCUAGUGAUACUAUAAUACUAGAGUAUCAGAGAGGAUUGCAGAAUUCCUGGUGUAGCGGUGAAAUGCGUAGAUAUCAGGAGGAAUACCGUUAGCGAAGGCGGCAAUCUGGCUGGAAACUGACGCUGAGGUGCGAAAGCGUGGGUAGCAAACAGGAUUAGAUACCCUGGUAGUCCACGCUGUAAACGAUGGAUGCUAGGUGUUGGGCUUUUAAGUUCAGUGCCGCAGCAAACGCGAUAAGCAUCCCGCCUGGGGAGUACGUUUGCAAGA